RNAcentral lists this unclassified non-coding RNA (91 nucleotides) under Pseudomonas sp. NFACC05-1. The record is from RNAcentral. Lineage: Bacteria; Pseudomonadati; Pseudomonadota; Gammaproteobacteria; Pseudomonadales; Pseudomonadaceae.
UGUGGGAGCGAGCUUGCUCGCGAUAGCGGCGGUACAUCCAGGGCAUCUGCAGCACCUGGAAUCCGUCAUCGCGAGCAAGCUCGCUCCCACA